CAGGGACGAAAGUCGGUCUUAGUGAUCCGGUGGUUCUGUAUGGAAGGGCCAUCGCUCAACGGAUAAAAGGUACUCCGGGGAUAACAGGCUGAUACCGCCCAAGAGUUCACAUCGACGGCGGUGUUUGGCACCUCGAUGUCGGCUCAUCUCAUCCUGGGGCUGGAGCAGGUCCCAAGGGUACGGCUGUUCGCCGUUUAAAGAGGUACGUGAGCUGGGUUUAGAACGUCGUGAGACAGUUCGGUCCCUAUCUGCCGUGGGUGUAGGAUACUUGAGAGGAGUUGCCCCUAGUACGAGAGGACCGGGGUGAACGUUCCACUGGUGGACCAGUUGUCGUGCCAACGGCAGUGCUGGGUAGCUAUGAACGGACAGGAUAACCGCUGAAGGCAUCUAAGCGGGAAGCCCCCCUCAAAACAAGGUAUCCCUGAGGACCGUGGUAGACCACCACGUCGAUAGGCCGGAGAUGUAAGCGCAGCAAUGCGUUCAGUUGACCGGUACUAAUUGUCC
RNAcentral lists this ribosomal RNA (504 nucleotides) under Chloropicon laureae. RNAcentral describes it as "partial Bacterial large subunit ribosomal RNA". It matches the Rfam family "Bacterial large subunit ribosomal RNA", at positions 2394 to 2910 of the family's 2925-position model. The record is from RNAcentral. Lineage: Eukaryota; Viridiplantae; Chlorophyta; Chloropicophyceae; Chloropicales; Chloropicaceae.